AGCUAGUAUUUUAUUAUUGCUAAACUGGACCCAUAAAUCAAUUUGAUUUUUCGAAAACCAAGCGAAAAACUCGAAAAUCAAGCAAAUUGAGCCAAAUCAUAGAAUUAGACCAAACCGGUUCGAAUCGAACCGGAAUGGUCUAGAAGCUUUAGAAUUCUCCUUCUUUUCUUUUUUUUCUUCUUUUUCUUUUCUUCUUCGG
RNAcentral lists this long non-coding RNA (199 nucleotides) under Jatropha curcas. Its description in RNAcentral is "long non-coding RNA (JCUR_LNC001511)". The record is from RNAcentral. Lineage: Eukaryota; Viridiplantae; Streptophyta; Magnoliopsida; Malpighiales; Euphorbiaceae.